This 482-nucleotide ribosomal RNA is filed under the name uncultured bacterium. Its description in RNAcentral is "partial 16S ribosomal RNA". It matches the Rfam family "Bacterial small subunit ribosomal RNA", at positions 30 to 507 of the family's 1533-position model. The record is from RNAcentral.
AUUGAACGCUGGCGGCAUGCCUAACACAUGCAAGUCGAACGGUAACAGGUCUUCGGAUGCUGACGAGUGGCGAACGGGGGCGGAAUACAUCGGAACGUGCCCGAUCGUGGGGGAUAACGAGGGGUAAGGUAUGCUAAUACAGCAUACGAUCUCAGGCUGAAAGCGGGGGAACUUCGGACAUCGCGCGACCGGAGCGGACGAUGGCAGAUUAGGUAGGUGGUGGGAUAAAAGCGUACCAAGCCGACGAUCUGUAGCUGGUCUGAGAGGAUGAUCAGCCACACUGGGACUGAGACACGGCCCAGACUCCUACGGGAGGCAGCAGUGGGGAAUUUUGGACAAUGGGCGAAAGCCUGAUCCAGCCAUGCCGCGUGCAGGAUGAAGGCCUUCGGGUUGUAAACUGCUUUUGUACGGAACGAAAAGCCUCUUUCUAAUAAAGAGGGGUCAUGACGGUACCGUAAGAAUAAGCACCGGCUAACUACGUG